This 95-nucleotide transfer RNA is filed under the name Asanoa siamensis. RNAcentral describes it as "tRNA-Arg". Lineage: Bacteria; Bacillati; Actinomycetota; Actinomycetes; Micromonosporales; Micromonosporaceae. The record is from RNAcentral.
GAGCGGGUGGGCGUCGGCGUUCCGGCGCGUUUCGAGCGCGGCGAGCGCCCGGUGGAUCGGCAGGUACGCGUCGAUCGCGCUGACGCCCGCGUACC